ACCGGAGAGGGAGCCUGAGAAGCGGCUACCACAUCCAAGGAUGGCAGCAGGCGCGCAAAUUACCCAAUCCCGACACGGGGAGGUAGUGACAAUAAAUAACAAUACGGGGUUCUUUCGGAUCUCGUAAUUGGAAUGAGUACAAUUUAAAUCUCUUAACGAGGAACAAUUGGAGGGCAAGUCUGGUGCCAGCAGCCGCGGUAAUUCCAGCUCCAAUAGCGUAUAUUAAAGUUGUUGCAGUUAAAAAGCUCGUAGUUGAAUUUCGGGGUUAGUAGGUUGGUCAUGCCUCUGGUAUGUACUGGUCUCACUGAUUCCUCCUUCCUUAUGAACCGUAAUGCCAUUAAUUUGGUGUUGCGGGGAAUUUGGACUGUUACUUUGAAAAAAUUAGAGUGUUUAAAGCAGGCUAGCGCUUGAAUACAUUAGCAUGGAAUAAUGAAAUAGGACGUUCGAUCUUAUUUUGUUGGUUUCUAGGAUUGACGUAAUGAUUAAUAGGGAUAGUUGGGGGCACUAGUAUUCAAUUGUCAGAGGUGAAAUUCUUGGAUUUAUUGAAGACUAACUACUGCGAAAGCAUUUGCCAAGGAUGUUUUCAUUAAUCAAGAACGAAAGUUAGGGGAUCGAAGACGAUCAGAUACCGUCGUAGUCUUAACCAUAAACUAUGCCGACUAGGGAUCGGAUGAUGUUAAUUUUUUAAUGACUCAUUCGGCGCCUUACGGGAAACCA
Molecule: ribosomal RNA, 717 nt
Filed under: uncultured fungus
Lineage: Eukaryota; Fungi
Description: SSU rRNA
Rfam family: Eukaryotic small subunit ribosomal RNA
Source: RNAcentral